RNAcentral lists this ribosomal RNA (480 nucleotides) under uncultured bacterium. Its description in RNAcentral is "partial 16S ribosomal RNA". It matches the Rfam family "Bacterial small subunit ribosomal RNA", at positions 28 to 507 of the family's 1533-position model. The record is from RNAcentral.
GACGAACGCUGGCGGCGCGCUUAACACAUGCAAGUCGAGCGAUGAAACUUUAACAGCCCCCUUCGGGGCGAAGAUAAAGUGGAUUGGCGGCGGACGGGUGAGUAACACGUGAGUAACCUGCCUUAGACAUUGGGAUAGCCUCGGGAAACCGGGAUUAAUACCAAAUAAAAUCAUAAUGACACAUGUCAUAACGAUCAAAACUCCGGUGGUCUAAGAUGGACUCGCGUCCCAUUAGCUAGUUGGCAGAGUAAAAGCCUACCAAGGCGACGAUGGGUAGCCGGCCUGAGAGGGUGAACGGCCACAUUGGAACUGAGAAACGGUCCAAACUCCUACGGGAGGCAGCAGUGGGGAAUAUUGCACAAUGGAGGGAACUCUGAUGCAGCGACGCCGCGUGAACGAAGAAGGCUUUCGAGUCGUAAAGUUCUUUUAUAUGGGAAGAUAAUGACGGUACCAUAAGAAAAAGCCCCGGCUAACUACGUG